CAGCGGGGGCGGGAGUAUUCCAAAUCUGUUUAAAAAACGACCGAUCUGCUCUGGACGCUCGGGGAUAUUGGCCAAUACUUCCCUUUACCGGUGCGCGGCAUCUCCCCCCAAGUGCCCCGCCGGCCAAAGUACCGAGGAUCGCGUACUUUGUUUUACUCCUAAUGGUCUUGACCCGGAUUCAUCCCCCAGAACCCGG
Pseudomonas sp. FeS53a is the source of this 196-nucleotide small RNA. It matches the Rfam family "RgsA sRNA". Rfam says of the family: P16 sRNA appears to be conserved across several Pseudomonas species and Azotobacter vinelandii. In these species it is consistently located downstream of a predicted TatD deoxyribonuclease gene. NCBI's taxonomy places the organism in Bacteria, Pseudomonadati, Pseudomonadota, Gammaproteobacteria, Pseudomonadales, Pseudomonadaceae. The record is from Rfam.